RNAcentral lists this ribosomal RNA (301 nucleotides) under uncultured bacterium. Its description in RNAcentral is "partial 16S ribosomal RNA". It matches the Rfam family "Bacterial small subunit ribosomal RNA", at positions 509 to 807 of the family's 1533-position model. The record is from RNAcentral.
CAGUCGCCACGGUAAUACGUAGGGUGCGAGCGUUAAUCGGAAUUACUGGGCGUAAAGCGUGCGCAGGCGGUUGUGUAAGACAGGUGUGAAAUCCCCGGGCUUAACCUGGGGACUGCGCUUGUGACUGCACAGCUAGAGUAUGGCAGAGGGGGGUGGAAUUCCACGUGUAGCAGUGAAAUGCGUAGAGAUGUGGAGGAACACCGAUGGCGAAGGCAGCCCCCUGGGCCAAUACUGACGCUCAUGCACGAAAGCGUGGGGAGCAAACAGGAUUAGAUACCCGAGUAGUCCCUGUCUCUUAUAC